GCUAUUUUUAAUCUUCUUUUCACAGUCUCUCUGCUUCCCCAAUUAAAAUGUGGCCCUGGUUAAAUCCAUCUGAAUCUUCCAGGACUGCAUCAGCGUUGAAAGAUUCAUACUACUCUGUUCACAGGCUUAUAUAAGGAAAAAAACAGUUCCUCAAUUAGUUUUAUGUAAUUUCAGACUGUAAAAUAACAUGGUCUGGCAUAACACAGUCUUUUCAAAAUAUCAUAUGUUUUCUGGAUGGGAAACAUCCUUUGUAUCCUAACACUAACAUCUCCAUUAGCUUUUGUAAAGCAUAUUCUCUAUUUUCAUAGAAUCACAGGAUAGUUCAGGUUGCAAGGGACCUCAGGAGAGCUCUAGUCCAACCUUCUGCUCAAAGCAAGGUCAGCUAUGAGGUCAGAACAAGUUUCUCUGGCUUUAUCCAGUCAGAGAUGUUCUUAUCCUACUACUUUUUUUAUCUGGAGCCACUAGAUCACCCAUGAACUCAACCGCUUCUGUUUUCAUUAAAAUCUAAAACCUAUAGAAGCCUUUAGUAAUAUUAGUGGAAUUAAUAACUCACAGUAUCCAAUACCCCACAGUAUCCUGUACUGCCGAUGCAGAUGUUAGUGUUAGGACAGAAGGAUUUUUUUAAAUAUUGAUUUCUCUCUGUAUUCACAAGAUCAUCCUUGGACCUUCCUAAUACCUUUUUUCUCCCUGUAAAGAAAAUCAGAGAGUGGGUAAAAACUGUUAAGGACCCUGCUGGAGAUAAGCCAACAACCUUUUUCAAGCCAUUGGAGUAUUGCAUAUGUAAGGACAGAGUUAAAGUUAGGAAAUGAAGGGCUGCUUGUCUUGGGUACUGGAAGUCUCCUCCUCCUGGGCUGCUCAGCAGGCUGGGACACAUCAAAGAAGAACCAACAAGAAGGGAAAUAUCCCGUGGUUAAGAUGCUGAUGUUAGUUUGGAGACCUAUUUUGGCAAAUGCUUUUCAUCAGCUCUGUGCCAUGCCUUCCUGUUCAUAAAAUAGAGAUUAAAAUGCUUUUUCCUCGUCUUUUAUCUCCCUAGAUUGUAAGCUUUGUAAGGGUACAUACAUACAGCACCCGUAUGUUAGUGCUUCUUGGUAUAGCUGUAACAUUUAAUCAAAAAAAUGCCUUAUGCCUCUUUGAUUCAUAAAAUGCUGAAUGUGUCACUUAUCUGAGCUAAAGAGGAACAUAUAUUUGUGGAUGACCUUUAACUGGAAAGAGUAAAAGAU
This 1220-nucleotide long non-coding RNA is filed under the name Dromaius novaehollandiae (emu). RNAcentral's name for it is "lncRNA (ENSDNVG00000013123.1)". Lineage: Eukaryota; Metazoa; Chordata; Aves; Casuariiformes; Dromaiidae. The record is from RNAcentral.